RNAcentral lists this long non-coding RNA (1268 nucleotides) under Felis catus (domestic cat). RNAcentral describes it as "lncRNA (ENSFCAG00000040619.2)". Lineage: Eukaryota; Metazoa; Chordata; Mammalia; Carnivora; Felidae. The record is from RNAcentral.
GGAAAUGGUCUCUGUGAUAUAAGACAAAAAUAGAAGUAUAGAGAACAGCUUGGUUCAGAGUCUCUAAAAUAAGAAAAAAAAUUGCUAUUUUUUUUUUUUUUUUUUAGCUAAAUGACUUAGCCUGGGUCUACCAAACAAGUAGAACAUGAACCAAGAGGUUGCAUGAAGGUAAUCUAUAUGGGGAGGUGAUAAGAGGAAUAAGACUGAAGUGCUAAGAAUGGGGAAAGGGUAAGAAUCAGUAUAAGGUGGUAUUGUUCAAAGUUGUUGUCUGAGUUGUUCUCUACCAUGGACAACUGGAGUCCAGUCACACUGGAGACCUUUCCAGGAGCCAAGCAGAAGAUGCCCAUGAGUUGCCACUCCAAAAGGAUAGGAGUGUCACCAGGUCCUGUGUCUGGCACAUUGCUGACCUUGGGAUAUUUGCUCUCUCUCUUUUCCAGGUCUACUCAAUGGUCAGAACAGCUGAGGUGCUGAGCAUCUGUUGGAAAAAGCUGUGCCAAGAGACUAAAACCAUUCAUCACACUAUCCAAACCAGAAAUCCUGGAAUGAUUUGGCUCACCUAUGCUGUUUCAAUGCUUCUCUCUACAGUGGCAUAUUCAAAUGAUCUCAACAGAUUCACAGGACUUUCCAUUAGUGUCCACCUCAGCCAUGUGGAUGAUCCAUCAAUUCUAUUUUCUAAUGAUGUACAUGCAAUGACAUUCAUUUCUAUGGUAAGUGUCUCUAAGUGUAGAAUUUCUUCUGUCUAGUUCAGUACCCUCACCUCAUGUUACCAAAAAGUUUAAAUUUGAAGUGUUUUGACUGACAAAUGAAAAUUGAGUUCAGUACAGCCUUCUCUCUAAAGAAAAUUAGUCAUAUAUUUCUUCUUGGCCAGGUAAUUUAAAAACCUGGAAUCAUCAUCAUCAUCAAAAAGGGUAACAAUGGUAUAACCAAAAUGUAUACAAAAUUACAUAAUUACAUUCAGUCAUAUUUUAUAUCGGACCUCAAGGCAAUUAGAAUCAUAUCUAUUAAUUUCUUGAUAAAGAUCUGCUUAAUCAGUGUAUUCAUUUGUGCAUUCUGGGAUAUAAUAGACUCAAAAUCAGUUACUAUAAUCUCAAACCACAUCAUGUACUUCCUCUCAAAGACACAGUCACAUUUCCUAUCUCUACCAGUAGAUGAAAAUUCAUUCAUAUCUCAAUGUAAAUGAACUGGUUAUUCAUGUUAAUUAGAAGCAUGAACAAAAUAGGAGUCCACCUUUUCAAAUAAAAAAAUCUUUUUGAAAAUGAUAAUUUUCA